This 987-nucleotide ribosomal RNA is filed under the name Triticum aestivum (bread wheat). Its description in RNAcentral is "partial small subunit ribosomal RNA". The record is from RNAcentral. Lineage: Eukaryota; Viridiplantae; Streptophyta; Magnoliopsida; Poales; Poaceae.
AUGUAUGUUGAAGAAGAACUUCACUGGCAUCAAUUUUCUAAUGAGAGGUGGUUGUUGAAAGGAGACAAUAACACUGACUUUUUCCACAAAGUAGCUAAUGGACGCCGUAGGAAAAACUCCAUGAUCUCCCUGGAGUGCGGGUCCACUAUUAUUGAAGGCACUAAAAACCUACUGGCCCAUGCUACUGAUUACUAUAAAACCUUGUUUGGACUUGCUCCUGGCAUUAUUUGUCAGAUAGAUGCAGAUUUGUGGUCUCAAGAUGAGAUGAUUACUCCUGAUGACAAUGAGGACUUGACUCGACCUUUCUCAUUGGAAGAGAUCAAGAAAGCAUUAUUUGAGAUGAAAUCUAACCGAGCCCCUGGCCCAGACGAUAUCCCUGUUGAAUUUUAUCAACACUGCUGGGAUGUAGUAGCCCAUGAUCUCUUAUGCCUGUUUGAAUGGUUUCAUGAAGACAAGUUAGAUGUCCAACGACUUAAUUAUGGAAUCAUAACCUUGCUACCUAAGUCGACUGAUGCUAAUAAAAUCCAGCAGUAUAGGCCCAUUUGUCUGUUACGUUGCCCUUACAAGUUACUCACUAAAGCCAUGGAUAUUAGAGCUAGCAAAUAUGCCCAUAAAUUGUUCAGUAUUCAACAGAAUGCUCUUAUUAAGGGGAGACACAUAGUGGAUGGGAUCCUAUCGCUUCAUGAGGUCCUACAUUAUACACACCUCAAAAAACAAGUGGGAGUGGUUCUUAAACUUGAUUUCGAGAAAGCAUAUGACAAAGUCAACUGGGACUUUUUGCUUGAUUGUCAUAGGAAGCGUGGAUUUAGCUCUAAAUGGUGUGGAUGGGUAUCUCAAAUCCUAAAAAAGGGCACGGUUAGUGUCAAGAUUAAUAAUGAGGUGGGACCUUACAUUCAAAGUGCUAAGGGGGUGAGACAGGGGGAUGUUGGGGAACGCAGUAAUUUCAAAAAAAUUCCUACGCACACGCAAGAUCAUGGUGAUGCAUAG